GAUCCGGUGGCUUAGUGGUUAGAGCGUCCUUCUCGGGUGCGAGAGGCUGUGGGUUCGAUUCCCAGUUGAGUCA
Non-coding RNA from Potamilus streckersoni, 73 nucleotides. NCBI's taxonomy places the organism in Eukaryota, Metazoa, Mollusca, Bivalvia, Unionida, Unionidae. The record is from the annotation of a GenBank genome assembly.